Penaeus monodon (black tiger shrimp) is the source of this 691-nucleotide long non-coding RNA. RefSeq lists it as uncharacterized. The record is from RefSeq and is a predicted model, not a curated record. The transcript has 9 exons. Lineage: Eukaryota; Metazoa; Arthropoda; Malacostraca; Decapoda; Penaeidae.
UUACUCUACAUGCCAUAUGCUUGAAUUAUCAGAAAAUGAGGGAAAAGACAGACCAUCAAAAAUACAAGUUCUUGGAGUUAGUCUACAUGCUUAAGCUGAUAUUUUCAAAAAAUAAGGAAAAAACAGAUCAACAGAUGAAUUUCUUGUUCGUUACUCUAUACGCGUAAAUUAUUAAAAAACAAAGGAAAAAACAGAACUUCAAAAUAUUAAUUCAUCCAAAUUUGGAGGCUCUUCUACAAACAUAUACCUAAAUUAUUGGAAAAAAAGAAAAAAAAAUUGUACAUCAAAUAGCUGCACAAGUAAAGAUGCAUUUUAUGCAUACAUGUGUCCAUUCUGAUUUGAUGUGAAUAGAGCCUUGGAAUUGGUGGUUAAUCUGUGUGCUUAAGCUGGAAUUAUCAAAAUGCAAGGGAAAAAGAUCGGACUAAGUUCUCAUCAUUUACUUGACUAAAAUAAUAGCCUGCCCUGUAAGAAUUGUGGCUACAGCACAAAUAAAUAACCCUGGAAGCUAGGUGGAAGACAACACAGUGCUUGGGGCUCGCAAGCAAGGCUCUACACCCUGUAGCUCGUGUGUUUUUUUUUUAGUAUUUUGGAGUUUUGCAGUUCACUUGUGGAAGACAUGAUCCAAGGAUGAAUCUAAAAUGAUAAAGGGGAGAUAAUUUGUUUGCUGAUAAUAAAAAAUAUUUCUGUAUUA